This 232-nucleotide ribosomal RNA is filed under the name uncultured bacterium. Its description in RNAcentral is "partial 16S ribosomal RNA". It matches the Rfam family "Bacterial small subunit ribosomal RNA", at positions 15 to 240 of the family's 1533-position model. The record is from RNAcentral.
GAUCAUGGCUCAGGAUGAACGCUAGCGGCAGGCUUAACACAUGCAGGUCGAGGGGCAGCAUAAUGGAUAGCAAUAUCUAUGGUGGCGACCGGCGCACGGGUGCGUAACGCGUAUGCAACCUACCUUUAACAGGGGGAUAACACUGAGAAAUUGGUACUAAUACCCCAUAAUAUCAUAGAAGGCAUCUUUUAUGGUUGGAAAUUCCGAUGGUUAGAGAUGGGCAUGCGUUGUA